UACGUAGGGUGCGAGCGUUAAUCGGAAUUACUGGGCGUAAAGCGUGCGCAGGCGGUUCGUUGUGUCGGCGGUGAAAGCCCCGGGCUCAACCUGGGAAUGGCCGUUGAAACUGGCGAACUGGAGUGUGGCAGAGGGGGGUGGAAUUCCGCGUGUAGCAGUGAGAUGCGUAGAGAUGCGGAGGAACACCGAUGGCGAAGGCAGCCCCCUGGGCUGACACUGACGCUCAGGCACGAAAGCGUGGGUAGCAAACAGG
RNAcentral lists this ribosomal RNA (253 nucleotides) under uncultured bacterium. RNAcentral describes it as "partial 16S ribosomal RNA". It matches the Rfam family "Bacterial small subunit ribosomal RNA", at positions 524 to 776 of the family's 1533-position model. The record is from RNAcentral.